ACUUAAGAAAGCGGAUUCCCAGGCACCAUGCUGAUCUACUGAAUCAGACUAUCUGUGAGUGGAGUCUAGCAAUCUGCAUUUUAAAC
RNAcentral lists this microRNA precursor (86 nucleotides) under Chlorocebus sabaeus (green monkey). RNAcentral's name for it is "miRNA (ENSCSAG00000021136.1)". Lineage: Eukaryota; Metazoa; Chordata; Mammalia; Primates; Cercopithecidae. The record is from RNAcentral.